Long non-coding RNA from Mastomys coucha (southern multimammate mouse), 1835 nucleotides. RefSeq lists it as uncharacterized. The record is from RefSeq and is a predicted model, not a curated record. Lineage: Eukaryota; Metazoa; Chordata; Mammalia; Rodentia; Muridae. The transcript is spliced from 9 exons.
CUCCUUACAGAGCUAAGGCCUCAUGUCUCCUGAAGUGUCUGUGUUCUGAGGCAGUUAUCACCAGAGUAAGAAGAGGCCUGCAAAUGUUUUCAUCAAAGAAUACUGGCUGGACUAUAAUAGAGUUACCAUGGUAACUGUGCAGCCUCAUUUCUGAAAGCCUGAAGGAUGCUGGGAACCCUGGUGAUGCAUGAGUUGGGAUGGAGGUGAAAUCUUCACACAUCUCUCCAGUGUCACUUAUCAAGUACCAUCAGAAGGACAACAGCGAGGCCAGACAGUUGGAACAAUGACAAAUACCUGUUAGGAACCUGCUAUCACGACUUACACUCAGUUCUUCCAUACUACUCCACUGAGUCUUUCAUUUAAAGCCAAGAGAUACUGCUCUCUCUCAGGGUGAACUCAGAUGCUCCUCAGGCUUCAUCUCAUGCCCAGAAAUGGUUUACAAUGUCACCUUUUGAGUUCUUGGCAUCUUUUGACAACACUUGCCAAUGACUCUUGAAAAUGUUCCAGAUGAACAUGGGCAUGCUUCAAAUCUUGACAGCAAAAGCAUCGUGGAGAUCUACUCACUUAGCCUAAAGGAGUCAGACGAAUCCAUAAACAUAAAUAUCUUGUGUGUCUCCCAGAAGAAAGAAAGAAAAACAUAUGAAGGCAAAGAAAAACAAGAAUGAGGACAACGUAGUCUGCAGGGAGCAUUGGGGACCCAGGGAGAGUGGUAAAAGCUGUGCAUGGUUCCAAGUAAGCAUGGCGCUUCACAGGAUCUGUUUCUCCUCCCUGGCUUCCAAAGAGACCCAUGUGCUUCAUUCUAACGGCGCUUUUAGUGAAAGCAAGUAAGGACAAGCUUAGGUGACAGCUCUCAAGGCUGGGGACCUGGAGCACGCUGCACAGACUGCGGGAAGCUCAACAGUUUGGAGAGUGUCCUUUCCAGGUGCCUCACUUGCUCUAAACCUCUUCUAAUCAGACUGAGAGGACACUGAGAGCCAGAAACUGAUGGAGGAAAUAAGAAAUGUUUAGGGAGGAGAGAAUGAGGUGCCUUAACCUCUUCACCUUCUCGACUGUCUGUGAUGUGAGGAGGAGUGAAGUGAGGCGACACACGCCCGCUAACAGACUGCCUGAUAUAGGACAGGAGAGAAGAUAGAUUCAUCAAGGAAAGGAAUUGAAAAGGCCGUGAGAGAGCACAAUGAGACAAGAGGAUGAAGGCGAAACUGGCAUGCUAUUCGGUACUCACUGGAAAGGAAAUAAAGAGCUCUGCAGUGAGAACCUCAAAAGCUUUGUGACCUAACAAUGAGACCUGGGGGGAUGGCAGAGCUCCUGACUUGGGAGACAAACUCAGUAACAGAUACUUGGCAGAGUUCUGACUACUUUCGACUUGGGACAAAGGCAGAAGAAAUAGGAAGAAAGAAUUGCAGAGUGGUUUAUUAUGUCUGUGUCACAAAGGGGGCAGGAAACCACAACUUUGAAGACUUGAAGGAACUGGUUAAGGUAGCCCUGGGAGCCAGCAACGGUGCUAAGGUUGGGGAAAGUGAAGGCAGAUGAGAGCAGCUAGGACUGUAGAGUCGCCUAGAUGUCAAAGUCCCUCCUGUUAGGAGAAGCAUGCUGCAUGUGUGACUUUGAGAAGUCAGUUACACCGACACUGGAACUUUACAUGAAUGUUCAGGACCAAGCCAGAUACCAAAAAAGAAGCAACGGAAGAUGGGUGGAGAAGACUCAGUGUAGGCCCGGGGGUGAAUUUCCUUUCAGUUUUGGAAUCAACAAUGAUUUCUAGAUUCUCAUUAUUGUGUUUUGGUGUUGCACCCCAAAUGAAGUCGUUCUUUAACUAAAGAGGCAGUAAUUAUUAUGGA